Molecule: ribosomal RNA, 517 nt
Filed under: uncultured bacterium
Lineage: Bacteria
Description: bacterial SSU rRNA
Rfam family: Bacterial small subunit ribosomal RNA
Source: RNAcentral
UCAGAUUGAACGCUGGCGGCGUGCUUAACACAUGCAAGUCGAACGCGAAAGGGACUUCGGUCCUGAGUAAAGUGGCGGCACGGGUGAGUAACGCGUGGAUAAUCUGCCCUAUGAUCGGGAUAACAGUUGGAAACGGCUGCUAAUACCGGAUACGCUCAAAAUGAACUUUUUUGAGGAAAGAUGGCCUCUGGCUUGCAUGCUAUCACGUAAGGAUGAGUCCGCGUCCCAUUAGCUUGUUGGCGGGGGUAACGGCCCACCGAAGGCAACGAUGGGUAGCCGAUUUGAGAGGAUGAUCGGCCACACUGGAACUGAAACACGGUCCAGACUCCUACGGGAGGCAGCAGUGGGGAAUAUUGCGCAAUGGGCGAAAGCCUGACGCAGCGACGCCGCGUGAGGGGAAUGAAGGUUUUCGGAUCGUAAACCUCUGUCAGAAGGGAAGAAACUACGUUGUGCUAAUCAGCAGCGUACUGACGGUACCUUCAAAGGAAGCACCGGCUAACUCCGUGCCAGCCGCCGC